Molecule: ribosomal RNA, 420 nt
Filed under: uncultured soil bacterium
Lineage: Bacteria
Description: bacterial SSU rRNA
Rfam family: Bacterial small subunit ribosomal RNA
Source: RNAcentral
AGCCUGAACGCUGGCGGCGUGGUUAAGACAUGCAAGUCGAACGGAUGUAGCAAUACAUCAGUGGCGGACGGGUGAGUAAUGUAUCGCUAAUGUACCCCGGAGACAGGGAUAGCUGCCCGAAAGGGCAGGUAAUACCAGAUGAUAUAACCUUAUCGCAUGAUGAGGUUCUCAAAUGUAGCAAUAUGCUCUGGGCGCAGGCAUAUCGUAUCAGGCUAGUUGGUGAGGUAACGGCUCACCAAGGCGACGACGCGUAGCUGGUCUGAGAGGACGACCAGCCACAUUGGGACUGAGACACUGACCCAGACUCCGUACGGGGGCUGCAGUAACGAAUCUUCGCAAUGCAACGAAGUGUAGACGGAGCGACGCCGCGUGUAGGACGAAGCCGUUCGGGUAGUAAACUACGUGUACGUAGGGUUAACC